CCUUCGAUAGCUCAGUUGGUAGAGCGGUGGACUGUAGAUGGUAAAUCGCAAUGGCAGAGAUCCAUAGGUCGCUGGUUCAAAUCCGGCUCGAAGGA
Molecule: transfer RNA, 95 nt
Filed under: Drosophila melanogaster (fruit fly)
Lineage: Eukaryota; Metazoa; Arthropoda; Insecta; Diptera; Drosophilidae
Rfam family: tRNA
About the family: Transfer RNA (tRNA) molecules are approximately 80 nucleotides in length. Their secondary structure includes four short double-helical elements and three loops (D, anti-codon, and T loops).
Source: Rfam by way of RNAcentral